Molecule: signal recognition particle RNA, 148 nt
Filed under: Macaca nemestrina (pig-tailed macaque)
Lineage: Eukaryota; Metazoa; Chordata; Mammalia; Primates; Cercopithecidae
Also listed under: 1 other name
Description: Metazoan signal recognition particle RNA
Rfam family: Metazoan signal recognition particle RNA
About the family: The signal recognition particle (SRP) is a universally conserved ribonucleoprotein. It is involved in the co-translational targeting of proteins to membranes. The eukaryotic SRP consists of a 300-nucleotide 7S RNA and six proteins: SRPs 72, 68, 54, 19, 14, and 9.
Source: Rfam by way of RNAcentral
GCCGGGCGUGGUGGUGCACGCCUGUAAUCCCAGCUACUCGGGAGGCUGAGGCACAAGAAUCGUUUGAACCCAGGAGGCAGAGGUUGCAGUGAGCCGAGAUUGUGCCACUGCACUCUAGCCUGGGUGACAAAGCGAGACUCUGUCUCAA